Musa acuminata AAA Group (dessert banana) is the source of this 8305-nucleotide long non-coding RNA. RefSeq lists it as uncharacterized. The record is from RefSeq and is a predicted model, not a curated record. NCBI's taxonomy places the organism in Eukaryota, Viridiplantae, Streptophyta, Magnoliopsida, Zingiberales, Musaceae. The transcript is spliced from 2 exons.
UUGGCUGACCCCGAGGAACAUAAAAUUGCUACAUGGCUUUCUGGGUUUAACAGGCUACUACUGCAAGUUCGUGAAAAACUAUGGAGAGAUCAGUGCACCACUUACUUCUUUUUUGAAAAAAGUUGUCUUCCAAUUGUAAUAUCCCCCACUUUUAAAAAUGUAUUAAUAAGGAUUUAUAUGUAAAUUGGGGGACCUAUAUGUAAAUAUAGAAAUUACAAGGACUAAACUGCUAAGUUGCAAAAAGAAAAAAAAAAAAAAAAAAAAAAACCGAAAAUUCGGUAUUAUCCCACCGCCUCCCACGCACUCUGUUUCUUUCCAGAAACAGAGAGAGCGGUGGGGCGUGAGGAGAAGAAGGAGAGUGGUUGAAGAAAAGAAGAAGAAGAGGGAAAAGAAGAGAGGAGGAAGAAGAGAGGAAGAAGAGAGGAAGAAGAGGGAGAAGAGAAGAAGAUGAAGAAGAAGAAGAAGAGGAGGUGGCUGCAGCGAGGGCUGCAGCGAGAAGCUGUGGGGCGUGGGGAGAAGAAGAGAGGAAGAAGAGGGAGAAGAGAAGAAGAAGAAGAAGAGAGGAUGAUAGCUGCGGCAAGGCUGCAGCGAGGAGGUGUGUGGGGUUGGGGAGGAAAAGGGAAGAGGAGAAGAAAAGAAGGAGAAGAAGAGGGAAAAGAGAGGAAAGAGGGAGAGGAGCGAGAGGUGGCAGCAGCUAGGGCUGCAGCACCUCUGUUUCCUGCAGGUGAAAACAGAGGAGAGGUGGGGCGUUCGAAGAGGAGAAGAAGAAGAAGAAGGAAGAGAAGAGGAAGAGGAAGCAGGAGAAGAGGUUGUGAUACCUCUGUUUCCUGCAGAGGAAACAAAGGAGAGGGUGUGUGUGACGUCGGGGAGAAGAAGGGGAGGAAGAAGAAGAAGAGAAGAAGAAGAAAGGAAGGAGAGGAAGAAGAGAAGGGAAAGGAGGAGCUGCGGCUGCGGCGGUGGCAGCUGCAGCUGGAAGAGAAGGAGAGGAAGAGAUGGUGAGGAAGAAGAGAAGAAGUAGAAGCGGGUGAAGAGGCGGCACCUCUGUUUCCUGUAGGAGGAAACAGAGGAAAGGAGGUGUUGUUCGUCGGGGAGAAGAAGGGGGCUGCAGCUGCAGCGAUGGCAGCUGCAGCUGGAAGAGAAGAAGAAGAGGAAGAUGAGCAGGGGAGGAGGGAGAGGUUGCGGCCGUGGCUGCGGCCGCGACUGCAGCAGUUGCAGCGGGGAGAGAAGAAGAAGAAAGGAAGGAGAAGGAAGAGGAGAAGGGAAAGAAGUAGCUGCGGCUGCGGUUGUGGCAGCUGCAGCUGUGGCAGGGAAAGAGGAAGAGAAAAAGGAAAGGAAGAAGAAGAGAAAGGGAAGGAGAGGAAGAAGAGAGGAAGAGGAGAAGGGGCUGCGGCUGCGGCGAUGGCAGCUGCAGCUGUGGCUGGGAAAGAAGAGAAGGAAAGGAAGAAGAAGAGAAAGGGAAGGAGAGGAAGAAGAGAGGAAGAGGAGAAGGGGUGGCAGCUGCGGCAGUGGCAGCUGCAGCUGGAAGAGGAGGAGGAAAUAGAGCAGGGGAGGAAGAAGAGGCUGCGAGUGUGGUGGCUGCGGCCGUGGCUGCGACUCCGGCUGCGGCUGCGACGUUGGCUGCGGUAGCUGCGGCAGCGGUGGUGGCUGCAGUAGCUGCAGUAGCUGCUUUUGGGAAAGAGAAAGAGUAGGAACGAGAGAAGGGAAGAAGGAAAUAGUGCAGUGGAAGGGGGCUGCGGUUGUGACCGCAGUUGCUAUUGUGGCAGCGGCAGCGGCGGCGGCUGUGGCAGCUGCGUUUGGGAAAGAAAAAGAAGGAAUGAGAGAAAGAGAGAGAGCAGGUGACUGUGCCUCGAUGUUCGACACGUGAUGUAGUUACGAAGAAAGGAAGAAAACAGGAGCACAAAACGAAACAGAGAGAGGACACGGAGGAAAAGUAGAAAGAUUGGACUGGCACCUUCCUUGGAUAUUCAGAUCAAAAUAUUUGAAAGGCAAGUUCCCUGAUCGUUUCUCCUAUAAUUACUCUGAUAUUUCUUAUUUCAAGUUCCCUGAUCGUUUCUCCUAUAAUUGCUCUAACUUUUCUUAUUGCAAGUUUCCUGAUCGUUCCGCCUGUAAUUGUUCUAAUCUUUCCUAUUGCAAGUAUCCUGAUCGUUCCUCACUGCAAUUUUAUCUCUACAUUUGCUUUGAAUAUGAGGAACUUUGAAUUGUUCUAGCCUUGCAUUUGAUAUAUCUCCUGUUUAGACGUAACGAUUCGAAUCUAUGCAACUUCUGAUAUUCUGACCUUUUGAUACCGAGCUGCCUAUAAGUCUUUGUUGGAAACUCUGAUUUGUUCAAAACUGAUUUCAUUGGAAAAUAGACUCGUAGACCUUUCUUUGAUAUAUGGAUUGAAAGAUUUGGAAUCCAAACACUUGUCCAGCUAUCUGUUGAAUCUGACAUUAGGAAUUCUGCCAACAGAGAUUUUGUUCUACGACACUUGCUUACCAAAUUAUUUGUAACUCUCUCUGUUGGACAGUUCAAUUCAUAUGAAGCAUGUCUUAUAUGAAAGUAUUAUCCAAUGAUUAUUUCUGAGUAAAUUGGAGCACGUUUGAUAGUUUGAAUCAUUUGUUCAAUGUGCCUUCUGUAUUCUGCCAGAAAUCGAGCUUUGGUCGAUUUCUCAUAUUCUGGUUUCAUUCCUUUGGAAAUUGAUAUCCUUUAGCUUUCUUAUUCAAUUGAGCUUUAUAUUACUGCUUUGAAUUCUUGUAUGUUCUUGUCCUUAAAGUUAUUGCAUUCUUGAAAACUGUUGUGUAACGUUUAUGCUAUAUCGUAUUGACUCAUAUAGGCACAUGUAUAUCCUAUUGUUCCGCAUUUGCUUUCGAUAUGUGCCUAUUCCAGUUUCAUUCAUUUGGACAUUGAAUUCAUCAAAUCUUCUUAUUGAAUUGAGUUAUAUGUGAUUGCUUGGAUUCCAUAUGUGCCCUUGCUUUCAAUUCCUUUCAAAUCUGAAUAUGCUUGUGAAAUAUUAUUGCUUACUUCGGAUUGACUCGUAAAGGCACAUGUACGCUUCGUUGUUCCGCGUGUGCUUCCGACAUAUGCUACUUGUUGUUGAAACUGCCCUUUUGUACUCUGGUGUGUGGGAUUGUCUGGACCUUUGCCAGAAAUGGUAAAGGGUAUGCGCUAUUUGCCCGCUAUGUGGGGUCCCGCUUUGAGGGAUAUUCUGUUUGCGCUUGUUGCCCGCUACGUGGGUAUGUGAUUAGAGCCUGCGAUGCUCUGCCGGCCCCCUUUGACUUCACCUAGACGUGGGUGGAUGGAGCUCCCAGACGUGGGAGACUUUUGUCAGGUGGUCAUUCAGAAAUGGAUGAAUCACAUUCUGACUGAGAUCCCACUACACCCUCUAUGUGUUUGAUAUGACAUCCAGAGUUUUGGUGAGUUUGUUUCUGUUCAUACUCUGGAUAAGAUUGAUAUGAUUGCAACGUCAAGGACGACGUUUGAGCUCUUGUACGAUAUGUGUACCGAUAUGCUCUGAAAGGCUUCAUUCCCUGAUGAUUUUGUUUCGAAAUGUUCCAUAUGCCGUUGAUAUGCUUCGGAACAUUUUAUAUGCCAUUGAUAAGCUUGGUAUGUUUCCUUUGCUUCUGAUAUGCUCCAAUUACGCUGUGCUCCAUUUGCUAUGAACUGAUAUGUUCUUAUAUGUCCUAUUUGCCAUUGAUAUGCUCCAAUUACUCUGUGCUCCAUUUGCUAUGAACUGAUAUGUUCUGAAAUGUCCUAUCUACCAUUGAUAUGCUCCAAAUUACUCUGUGCUCCAUUUGCUAUGAGCUGAUUUGUUCUGAAAUGUCCUAUCUGCCAUUGAUAUGUUCCAAUUACUCUAUGCUCCAUUCGUUAUGGAUCAAAUAUGUUAUGAAUGACAUGAUACGUAUGAUUUGGUAUCUAUUGAGAUGGUAUCCUUGAGAAUUCUGGUAUUCUGCCUUGCAUUAUGAUACCUUACUCGUUUCAAACCGUUCCUUUUGUUCUGAAUAUGCUUUGUCACUUGCUGAGCCGUUUUUGGCUCACUCUGUUGUUAUAUAAACCUUUCAGGUCAGCUUGUCACUCUUCGAGAUGUUUGAUUUGGGUUGAGGCAGUGGAUAGCUAUUCAGAAUUAUGGGCAAGUCCUGUUGGUUGUUAUUCUAUUGUUGUAUAAGCAUAUUUUGUAUGUAAUGAAUUGUUCUGAUGAUCGAAAUGGAUAUACUGUGUAAAAGUGUUAGAAGAUCUCUCUUAUUUGGAAUUUCGGAAUGUUAAGUCUAAUUUAUGACGAUAUGAACUUGUGGUGAAUAGUUGGAGUUCUGAUUGUAUAAUUUAUUUAGCUUGUGGAUUUAUAAAUGUUGUUCAUGUUUGUCAAGUUGGCUUGGGUUGCCAUAAAUGUGAAUUAUCGAGUGAUGUGAUAUAUGAUUAUAAACUGCACAGGUUUUAUGGAUGUGAAUAUGAAUAGAAUGUUUUCAGUGUCCUCAAACGUUAGUUUGGAUCCUGGAUUGGUCUGUGACGAAAAUUUUAAAAAUCAUAGAUAUUUUGAGGGGCGUGACAAGAGGUGGUAUCAUAGCAUUGUUUGAGGAUUACUGAAAUAUUUGAUAUGUUGACGUGCAAAAUAUAUUGAGGUCUAAUGAACUAUAGUGAUUGGUGGAAAUUUUCUUUGCUGCAUUUUAGGAAUUUGGGAUGAUGAGGACAUUUGGUCCUCCUAUAUCAUUUGUUUCUGAUUAAUUAAGGGGAAUGAAAGGAUUGAUUGGGGAUAUUGAAUCAGAGUGGCGCAGCAGAAGCAUGAUGAACCUAAUUUCAUUGGUGGUAGAAAAAUGGAUGAUGCAAAUGGAGAAGAUAUUUGAUAUACAAAAUUGUUCUGAUACUCGAAAGAUUUCUUUUGCCACGUUAUAUUGGAAGUAAAGACUUAUUAUUGACGGCAACAAUGAAAAGAAUUUUUGAAGAUCAAUGGCAAGAAUGACAAGAACAAGUUUACCAAUAAAAAUAUGAUUGGAAAUGAAUCAGUAAGUAACAACAAGAGAGUCAAGACAUUUGGAUUUGAAAUGGUAAGUCACCACAAAAGACUCAAUCAGGUGUGAAUUGCAAGUUAAAUUAUGAAACAAGUUUAUGUUUAUGCGUGACUAGAGCCUAUUUUGCUUAUGGAAAGUUUGAUCAUAAAAUAAAAGUUUGCCCUUUGAACAAGAAGAAAGAGUCACUGCCUCCUAAAUCAUCAGCCCAUGUCAGAGUGUAUGCUAUCACUGAAUAUGAUUUUAAGACUUCUGAAUUAGUGGUCGAAGGUAUUAUGUAUGUUUAUGAAAGAAUGUAAAUAUUUGUUUGAACAUGGGUUCUAUCUACGAUUUGAUUCGUAACAUAUUGCCUAUCACUUGGGUAUUCAACCUAGACCACUGUAUUAUGUGAUAUAUGUAAGUACAAUCAUUAGAGAUUCUUUGAUAACGAACUUGAAUCUGGUCCUCUUGUCUGAUUUUUGUUGGAGAACUUGAACUUUUGCUGAUUUAGUUCUCCUAGAGAUUUGGAGUUAUGAUAUUAUACUUGGUAUGCAUUGGCUAUCUUCUUAUCAUACCAGUAUAGAUUGGUAUAUAACAAAUGAUCACUUUUUGCAUAUUUGAUCAGCCGAUCUUUUAUUUUGAGAGUAUUGGACAUUAUUUAUCUCCUUGCCUAAUGUAUCCCAGGAUGACUUGCCUGGAUUACCUCCAAAUGUGAUUUUGCUUUUGAUUUGGUCCUUGGGACAAUCCCUAUAUCUAAGCCUCUCUGCAGAAUGAUAUCAUUUGAGUAAGUGGAAUUAGAAAAACAACUACAAGGAUUAUUAAAUGAGGAUUUUAUUUGGCUUAAUAUUUUAUCAUGGGGUGCUCUGGUGUUAGUUAAAAAGAUGGAUGGAACAUGGAGGCUUUGUAUUGAUUAUGGAUAAUUGAAUCAGGUGAUCAUCAAAAACGAGUAUUUUCUGAAGUAACGAUUUGCUUGAUUAAUUACAGGUGCGCAAGUAUUUUUGAAAGAUUGAUUGAAGGUCGGGUUUACCAUCUAUUGAGAAUCAAGAAGGAGAAUAUUUUGGUCACUCUUGGAAAAUUGUGUAAUUGUAUUGAAUUGAUGAAAUUAUUUAAGAGUAGGAGGAGGAAAUAAAGAAAUCAUAAUCCUCAUCUUUUCAUCGAUUGAGCUAUGACCAAUUUAGAGGACUAAAUUUUCUUUUAAGGGGAGGAGAGUGUAAUAUCCCCCACUUUUAAAAAUGUAUUAAUAAGGAUUUAUAUGUAAAUUGGGGGACCUAUAUGUAAAUAUAGAAAUUACAAGGACUAAACUGCUAAGUUGCAAAAAGAAAAAAAAAAAAGAAAAGGAAAAACCGAAAAUUCGGUAUUAUCCCACCGCCUCCCACGCACUCUGUUUCUUUCCAGAAACAGAGAGAGCGGUGGGGCAUGAGGAGAAGAAGGAGAGUGGUUGAAGAAAAGAAGAAGAAGAGGGAAAAGAAGAGAGGAGGAAGAAGAGAGGAAGAAGAGAGGAAGAAGAGGGAGAAGAGAAGAAGAUGAAGAAGAAGAAGAAGAGGAGGUGGCUGCAGCGAGAAGCUGUGGGGCGUGGGGAGAAGAAGAGAGGAAGAAGAGGGAGAAGAGAAGAAGAAGAAGAAGAGAGGAUGAUAGCUGCGGCAAGGCUGCAGCGAGGAGGUGUGUGGGGUUGGGGAGGAAAAGGGAAGAGGAGAAGAAAAGAAGGAGAAGAAGAGGGAAAAGAGAGGGAAGAGGGAGAGGAGUGAGAGGUGGCAGCAGCUAGGGCUGCAGCACCUCUGUUUCCUGCAGGUGGAAACAGAGGAGAGGUGGGGCGUUCGAAGAGGAGAAGAAGAAGAAGAAGGAAGAGAAGAGGAAGAGGAAGCAGGAGAAGAGGUUGUGAUACCUCUGUUUCCUGCAGAGGAAACAGAGGAGAGGGUGUGUGUGACGUCGGGGAGAAGAAGGGGAGGAAGAAGAAGAAGAGAAGAAGAAGAAAGGAAGGAGAGGAAGAAGAGAAGGGAAAGGAGGAGCUGCGGCUGCGGCGGUGGCAGCUGCAGCUGGAAGAGAAGGAGAGGAAGAGAUGGUGAGGAAGAAGAGAAGAAGUAGAAGCCGGUGAAGAGGCGGCACCUCUGUUUCCUGCAGGAGGAAACAGAGGAAAGGAGGUGCUGUUCGUCGGGGAGAAGAAGGGGGCUGAAGCUGCGGCGAUGGCAGCUGCAGCUGGAAGAGAAGAAGAAGAGGAAGAUGAGCAGGGGAGGAGGGAGAGGUUGCGGCCGUGGCUGCGGCCGCGACUGCAGCAGUUGCAGCGGGGAGAGAAGAAGAAGAAAGGAAGGAGAAGGAAGAGGAGAAGGGAAAGAAGUAGCUGCGGCUGCGGUUGUGGCAGCUGCAGCUGUGGCAGGGAAAGAGGAAGAGAAAAAGGAAAGGAAGAAGAAGAGAAAGGGAAGGAGAGGAAGAAGAGAGGAAGAGGAGAAGGGGAUGCGGCUGCGGCGAUGGCAGCUGCAGCUGUGGCUGGGAAAGAAGAGAAGGAAAGGAAGAAGACGAGAAAGGGAAGGAGAGGAAGAAGAGAGGAAGAGGAGAAGGGGUGGCAGCUGCGGCAGUGGCAGCUGCAGCUGGAAGAGGAGGAGGAAAUAGAGCAGGGGAGGAAGAAGAGGCUGCGAGUGUGGUGGCUGCGGCCGUGGCUGCGACUCCGGCUGCGGUUGCGACGUUGGCUGCGGUAGCUGCGGCAGCGGUGGUGGCUGCAGUAGCUGCAGUAGCUGCUUUUGGGAAAGAGAAAGAGUAGGAACGAGAGAAGGGAAGAAGGAAAUAGUGCAGUGGAAGGGGGCUGCGGUGGUGACCGCAGUUGCGAUUGUGGCAGCGGCAGCGGCGGCGGCUGUGGCAGCUGCGUUUGGGAAAGAAAAAGAAGGAAUGAGAGUAAGAGAGAGAGCAGGUGACUGUGCCUCGAUGUUCGACACGUGAUGUAGUUACGAAGAAAGGAAGAAAACGGGAGCACAAAACGAAACAGUGAGAGGACACGGAGGAAAAGUAGAAAGAUUGGACUGGCACCUUCCUUGGAUAUUCAGAUCAAAAUAUUUGAAAGGUCAGCUUGUCACUCUUCGAGAUGUUUGAUUUGGGCUGAGGCAGUGGAUAGCUAUUCAGGAUUAUGGGCAAGUCCUGUUGGUUGUUAUGCUAUUGUUGUAUAAGCAUAUUUUGUAUGUAAUGAAUUGUUCUGAUGAUCGAAAUGGAUAUACUGUGUAAAAGUGUUAGAAGAUCUCUCUUAUUUGGAAUUUCGGAAUGUUAAGUCUAAUUUAUGACGAUAUGAACUUGUGGUGAAUAGUUGGAGUUCUGAUUGUAUAAUUUAUUUAGCUUGUGGAUUUAUAAAUGUUGUUCAUGUUUGUCAA